CGUGGGGGAUAACGAGGCGAAAGCUUUGCUAAUACCGCAUACGAUCUACGGAUGAAAGCGGGGGAUCUUCGGACCUCGCGCGGACGGAGCGGCCGAUGGCAGAUUAGGUAGUUGGUGGGAUAAAAGCUUACCAAGCCGACGAUCUGUAGCUGGUCUGAGAGGAUGAUCAGCCACACUGGGACUGAGACACGGCCCAGACUCCUACGGGAGGCAGCAGUGGGGAAUUUUGGACAAUGGGCGAAAGCCUGAUCCAGCCAUGCCGCGUGCAGGAUGAAGGCCUUCGGGUUGUAAACUGCUUUUGUACGGAACGAAAAGCCUCUUUCUAAUAAAGAGGGGUCAUGACGGUACCGUAAGAAUAAGCACCGGCUAACUACGUGCCAGCAGCCGCGGUAAUACGUAGGGUGCAAGCGUUAAUCGGAAUUACUGGACGUAAAGCGUGCGCAGGCGGUUUUGUAAGACAGAGGUGAAAUCCCCGGGCUCAACCUGGGAACUGCCUUUGUGACUGCAAGGCUGGAGUGCGGCAUAGGGGGAUGGAAUUCCGCGUGUAGCAGUGAAAUGCAUAGAUAUGCGGAGGAACACCGAUGGCGAAGGCAAUCCCCUGGGCCUGCACUGACGCUCAUGCACAAAACGUGAGGAGCAACACGAUUAGAUCCCUGGUAGUCCACGCCCUAACGAUGUCAACGGUUGUUGGUCUUCCUGACUCAGUAUGAAACUAACGCCUGAAUUGACCGCCUGGGGAGUACGUCGCAGGUUGAAACCAAAGAAUUACGGUGACCGCACACCGGUGAAGAUGGGCUUAUUCCAUGCACGCGAAAACCUUACCCCCUUUGAGUGUGAGAAGUUCCAGAGUUGGUUCGUGCCCGAAGGGAACCGGACUCAGUGCUGCAGGCCGUCGUCGCCCCGGUCCUGGAUGUGGGGUUAGUCCACACCAGCCCAACCUUGCCUUUUUUUUUUGAAAGGCCCUCUAAGGGACUCCGGGAAAAACCGAUGAAAGGGGGGAGAAGUCAGUCCCCAUGCCCUU
RNAcentral lists this ribosomal RNA (1021 nucleotides) under uncultured Diaphorobacter sp. RNAcentral's name for it is "bacterial SSU rRNA". It matches the Rfam family "Bacterial small subunit ribosomal RNA", at positions 135 to 1202 of the family's 1533-position model. Lineage: Bacteria; Pseudomonadati; Pseudomonadota; Betaproteobacteria; Burkholderiales; Comamonadaceae. The record is from RNAcentral.